This 253-nucleotide ribosomal RNA is filed under the name uncultured bacterium. RNAcentral's name for it is "partial 16S ribosomal RNA". It matches the Rfam family "Bacterial small subunit ribosomal RNA", at positions 524 to 776 of the family's 1533-position model. The record is from RNAcentral.
UACGUAGGGGGCAAGCGUUGUCCGGAAUCAUUGGGCGUAAAGAGCGUGUAGGCGGCUUGGCAAGUCUGGUGUGAAAUCUUGCGGCUCAACCGCAAGCGGUCACUGGAAACUGCCUCGCUAGAGUCCGGAAGAGGAGAGCGGAAUUCCUGGUGUAGCGGUGGAAUGCGCAGAUAUCAGGAGGAACACCCAUGGCGAAGGCAGCAAACUGGGCAUCAACUGACGCUGAGGCGCGAAAGCGUGGGUAGCAAACAGG